This 497-nucleotide ribosomal RNA is filed under the name uncultured bacterium. RNAcentral's name for it is "partial 16S ribosomal RNA". It matches the Rfam family "Bacterial small subunit ribosomal RNA", at positions 28 to 507 of the family's 1533-position model. The record is from RNAcentral.
GAUGAACGCUGGCGGCGUGCCUAAUACAUGCAAGUCGAGCGAACAGACGAGGAGCUUGCUCCUCUGACGUUAGCGGCGGACGGGUGAGUAACACGUGGAUAACCUACCUAUAAGACUGGGAUAACUUUGGGAAACCGGAGCUAAUACCGGAUAAUAUAUUGAACCGCAUGGUUCAAUAGUGAAAGACGGUUUUGCUGUCACUUAUAGAUGGAUCCGCGCCGCAUUAGCUAGGUGGUAAGGUAACGGCUUACCAAGGCGACGAUGCGUAGCCGACCUGAGAGGGUGAUCGGCCACACUGGAACUGAGACACGGUCCAGACUCCUACGGGAGGCAGCAGUAGGGAAUCUUCCGCAAUGGGCGAAAGCCUGACGGAGCAACGCCGCGUGAGUGAUGAAGGUCUUCGGAUCGUAAAACUCUGUUAUUAGGGAAGAACAAAUGUGUAAGUAACUAUGCACGUCUUGACGGUACCUAAUCAGAAAGCCACGGCUAACUACGUG